This 777-nucleotide ribosomal RNA is filed under the name Triticum aestivum (bread wheat). Its description in RNAcentral is "partial small subunit ribosomal RNA". Lineage: Eukaryota; Viridiplantae; Streptophyta; Magnoliopsida; Poales; Poaceae. The record is from RNAcentral.
GAUGACAACAGAUGCCCCAUGAUGAGCUGGAAUGUUCGUGGCAUGAACACUCCUGCCAAACGAGAAUCCAUUCAUGAAAUUGCACUUGCACAUAGACUAGCUAUUCUUUGUCUUUAGGAGACAAAGAUCGACACAUGGGAUCGACGACUAGUUGCAGACACAGGAGGUGCAUUGCUCGCUGAUUGCAUUGUACUUCCUAUCGUCGGCAUGAUGGGCGGAGCUGCGAUUUUCUGGAACGCAAACAUCGUCUCUGUUUCCUCUCAUAGCAUAGGGCAGUUUGCCAUCACUGCCAGAGUUACUUUGCUGCCAACUAACCAGUCCUUUUGGCUCACCACGGUGUACGGGCCAGCCGACGACGCCUGCAAAGAUGAUUUCCUUCUCGAGCUCUCACGAAAUGCACCACCUGCUUCUGAACCUUGGUUGCUCAAUGGUGAUUUCAACAUCAUUUAUAAGGCUAGUGACAAGAACAAUCUCAACCUUAAUAGAAGGAUUAUGGGCCGGUUCAGAAACGCCAUAGACACGGCCGGGCUGAGAGAGAUCAAGUGCAAGAACCGUAGAUACACCUGGAGCAACGAGUGCCAAAACCCUACCCUAGUUAGCAUAGAUAAAUUCUUCUGUAACACCAAUUGGGAACUGCUCUUCCCAAAUGACAUUCUGAUGGCAUCUUGGACGGUCGUUUCUGACCACUACCUACUCUUGUUGACCAAUGUUUCCACGUCACCCAGAAGAGCAAGUUUCAGAUUUGAAGAGUUCUGGCCACGCUUCCCUCAUUUCUAG